UUGACGNGAANAUGGUGCUUGCACCAAUUUGAAGAGCAGCGAACGGGUGAGUAACGCGUGGGGAAUCUGCCUUUGAGCGGGGGACAACAUUUGGAAACGAAUGCUAAUACCGCAUAAUAACUUUAAACAUAAGUUUUAAGUUUGAAAGAUGCAAUUGCAUCACUCAAAGAUGAUCCCGCGUUGUAUUAGCUAGUUGGUGAGGUAAAGGCUCACCAAGGCGAUGAUACAUAGCCGACCUGAGAGGGUGAUCGGCCACAUUGGGACUGAGACACGGCCCAAACUCCUACGGGAGGCAGCAGUAGGGAAUCUUCGGCAAUGGACGAAAGUCUGACCGAGCAACGCCGCGUGAGUGAAGAAGGUUUUCGGAUCGUAAAACUCUGUUGGUAGAGAAGAACGUUGGUGAGAGUGGAAAGCUCAUCAAGUGACGGUAACUACCCAGAAAGGGACGGCUAACUACGUGCCAGCAGCCGCGGUAAUACGUAGGUCCCGAGCGUUGUCCGGAUUUAUUGGGCGUAAAGCGAGCCCAGGUGGUUUAUUAAGUCUGGUGUAAAAGGCAGUGGCUCANCCAUUGUAUGCAU
RNAcentral lists this ribosomal RNA (578 nucleotides) under Lactococcus lactis subsp. lactis. Its description in RNAcentral is "bacterial SSU rRNA". It matches the Rfam family "Bacterial small subunit ribosomal RNA", at positions 62 to 626 of the family's 1533-position model. The record is from RNAcentral. Lineage: Bacteria; Bacillati; Bacillota; Bacilli; Lactobacillales; Streptococcaceae.